Molecule: ribosomal RNA, 253 nt
Filed under: uncultured bacterium
Lineage: Bacteria
Description: partial 16S ribosomal RNA
Rfam family: Bacterial small subunit ribosomal RNA
Source: RNAcentral
UACGUAGGUGGCAAGCGUUGUCCGGAAUUAUUGGGCGUAAAGCGCGCGCAGGCGGUCCUUUAAGUCUGAUGUGAAAGCCCACGGCUCAACCGUGGAGGGUCAUUGGAAACUGGGGGACUUGAGUGCAGAAGAGGAAAGUGGAAUUCCAAGUGUAGCGGUGAAAUGCGUAGAGAUUUGGAGGAACACCAGUGGCGAAGGCGACUUUCUGGUCUGUAACUGACACUGAGGCGCGAAAGCGUGGGGAGCAAACAGG